GUGGGGAAUAUUGGACAAUGGGCGAAAGCCUGAUCCAGCCAUGCCGCGUGUGUGAAGAAGGUCUUCGGAUUGUAAAGCACUUUAAGUUGGGAGGAAGGGCAGUAAGUUAAUACCUUGCUGUUUUGACGUUACCGACAGAAUAAGCACCGGCUAACUUCGUGCCAGCAGCCGCGGUACUACGAAGGGUGCAAGCGUUAAUCGGAAUUACUGGGCGUAAAGCGCGCGUAGGUGGUUUUGUAAGUUGGAGGUGAAAUCCCCGGGCUCAACCUGGGAACUGCCUCCAAAAAUGCAUGACUAGAGUACGGUAGAGGGUAGUGGAAUUUCCUGUGUAGCGGUGAAAUGCGUAGAUAUAGGAAGGAACACCAGUGGCGAAGGCGACUACCUGGACUGAUACUGACACUGAGGUGCGAAAGCGUGGGGAGCAAACAGGAUUAGAAACCCUUGUAGUCC
This 450-nucleotide ribosomal RNA is filed under the name uncultured bacterium. Its description in RNAcentral is "bacterial SSU rRNA". It matches the Rfam family "Bacterial small subunit ribosomal RNA", at positions 354 to 796 of the family's 1533-position model. The record is from RNAcentral.